This 497-nucleotide ribosomal RNA is filed under the name uncultured bacterium. RNAcentral's name for it is "partial 16S ribosomal RNA". It matches the Rfam family "Bacterial small subunit ribosomal RNA", at positions 28 to 507 of the family's 1533-position model. The record is from RNAcentral.
GAUGAACGCUGGCGGCGUGCCUAAUACAUGCAAGUCGAGCGAACAGACGAGGAGCUUGCUCCUCUGACGUUAGCGGCGGACGGGUGAGUAACACGUGGAUAACCUACCUAUAAGACUGGGAUAACUUCGGGAAACCGGAGCUAAUACCGGAUAAUAUAUUGCACCGCAUGGUUCAAUAGUGAAAGACGGUUUUGCUGUCACUUAUAGAUGGAUCUGCGCCGCAUUAGCUAGUUGGUAAGGUAACGGCUUAUCAAGGCAACGAGGCGUAGCCGACGUGAGAGGGUGGUCGGCCGCACUGGAACGUGGACACGGUCCAGGGUCCUACGGGAGGCAGCAGUAGGGAAUCGUCCGCAAUAGGCGAAAGCCUGACGGAGCGACGCCGCGUGAGUGAUGGAGGUCUUCGGAUCGUAAAACUCUGUUAUUAGGGAAGAACAAAUGUGUAAGUAACUAUGCACGUCUUGACGGUACCUAAUCAGAAAGCCACGGCUAACUACGUG